Molecule: microRNA precursor, 205 nt
Filed under: Oryza brachyantha (malo sina)
Lineage: Eukaryota; Viridiplantae; Streptophyta; Magnoliopsida; Poales; Poaceae
Description: MIR812 microRNA precursor family
Rfam family: MIR812 microRNA precursor family
Source: Rfam by way of RNAcentral
AAUAAACCAAUCUUUUACUUUUUACCUAUAAUAUUUGACUUUUUGUCUUAUUUAAAUUAUUUUGUGAUUAACAUUUUUGUUUUUAAUAGAUAAUAAAUUAUGAAUAGUACUCUACAUGUGACUAAUUUUUUUUAAUUUCUUAAAAAAUUUUCAAAUAAGACGGAUGGUCAAACGUUGGACAUGGAAACCGAAAGUUUGCUUUAUU